GAUGAACGCUAGCGGCAGGCUUAACACAUGCAAGUCGAGGGGCAGCAUGAAGGUUAGCAAUAACUUUUGAUGGCGACCGGCGCAAGGGUGCGUAACGCGUGAGCAACUUGCCCGUUUCAGGGGGAUAACCGGUGGAAACGCCGACUAAUACCCCAUAGUAUUGGUUUGAGGCAUCUCUUACCAAUUAAAGAAUUUCGGAAACGGAUAGGCUCGCGUGACAUUAGCUAGAUGGCGGGGUAACGGCCCACCAUGGCGACGAUGUCUAGGGGUUCUGAGAGGAAGGUCCCCCACACUGGAACUGAGACACGGUCCAGACUCCUACGGGAGGCAGCAGUGAGGAAUAUUGGUCAAUGGUCGAGAGACUGAACCAGCCAUGCCGCGUGAAGGUCACGGCCCUAUGGGUCUUAAACUGCUUUUGAUGGGAGCAAUAAGCUUUACGCGUAGAGCGAUGANAGUACCAUACGAAUAAGCAUCGGCUAACUCCGUGCCAGCAG
RNAcentral lists this ribosomal RNA (494 nucleotides) under uncultured bacterium. RNAcentral's name for it is "bacterial SSU rRNA". It matches the Rfam family "Bacterial small subunit ribosomal RNA", at positions 28 to 514 of the family's 1533-position model. The record is from RNAcentral.